UUAACACACGCAAGUCGAUCGGUAACAGGUGUAGCAAUACAUGCUGACGAGAGGCGGACGGGUGAGGAAUAUUUGGGAAUCUGCCCAUCAGCGGGGGACAACCCGGGGAAACUCGGGCUAAUACCGCAUACGCUCUACGGAGGAAAGCCGGGGACCGCAAGGCCUGGCACUGAUGGAUGAGCCCAAAUCGGAUUAGCUAGUUGGCGGGGUAACGGCCCACCAAGGCGACGAUCCGUAGCUGGUCUGAGAGGACGAUCAGCCACACCGGAACUGAGACACGGUCCGGACUCCUAUGGGAGGCAGCAGUGGGGAAUAUUGGACAAUGGGGGAAACCCUGAUCCAGCGACGCCGCGUGGGUGAAGAAGGCCUGCGGGUUGUAAAGCCCUUUCGGUAGGGACGAAAACUCUUGAUCCAACAAAUCAGGAGCUUGACUUAACCUACAUAAGAAGCACCGGCUAACUCUGUGCCAGCAGCCGCGGUAAUACAGAGGGUGCGAGCGUUAAUCGGAAUUACUGGGCGUAAAGCGCACGUAGGCGGCUUUGUAAGUCGGAUGUGAAAUCCCCGGGCUCAACCUGGGAACUGCACCCGAAACUACAUUGCUAGAGUAUGGGAGAGGGAGGCGGAAUUUCCGGUGUAGCAGUGAAAUGCGUAGAUAUCGGAAGGAACAUCAGUGGCGAAGGCGGCCUCCUGGACCAAUACUGACGCUCAGGUGCGAAAGCGUGGGGAGCAAACAGGAUUAGAUACCCUGGUAGUCCACGCCCUAAACGAUGAGAACUGGAUGUCGGGAGGGUUUGCCUUCCGGUGUCGUAGCUAACGCGAUAAGUUCUCCGCCUGGG
RNAcentral lists this ribosomal RNA (836 nucleotides) under uncultured bacterium. Its description in RNAcentral is "bacterial SSU rRNA". It matches the Rfam family "Bacterial small subunit ribosomal RNA", at positions 48 to 877 of the family's 1533-position model. The record is from RNAcentral.